Molecule: ribosomal RNA, 1064 nt
Filed under: fungal endophyte
Lineage: Eukaryota; Fungi
Description: eukaryotic LSU rRNA
Rfam family: Eukaryotic large subunit ribosomal RNA (bases 498-1064)
Source: RNAcentral
GGAUCAUUACUGAGUUUACGCUCUACAACCCUUUGUGAACAUACCUAUAACUGUUGCUUCGGCGGGUAGGGUCUCCGUGACCCUCCCGGCCUCCCGCCCCCGGGCGGGUCGGCGCCCGCCGGAGGAUAACCAAACUCUGAUUUAACGACGUUUCUUCUGAGUGGUACAAGCAAAUAAUCAAAACUUUUAACAACGGAUCUCUUGGUUCUGGCAUCGAUGAAGAACGCAGCGAAAUGCGAUAAGUAAUGUGAAUUGCAGAAUUCAGUGAAUCAUCGAAUCUUUGAACGCACAUUGCGCCCGCCAGCAUUCUGGCGGGCAUGCCUGUUCGAGCGUCAUUUCAACCCUCAAGCUCUGCUUGGUGUUGGGGCCCUACAGCUGAUGUAGGCCCUCAAAGGUAGUGGCGGACCCUCCCGGAGCCUCCUUUGCGUAGUAACUUUACGUCUCGCACUGGGAUCCGGAGGGACUCUUGCCGUAAAACCCCCCAAUUUUCCAAAGGUUGACCUCGGAUCAGGUAGGAAUACCCGCUGAACUUAAGCAUAUCAAUAAGCGGAGGAAAAGAAACCAACAGGGAUUGCCUCAGUAACGGCGAGUGAAGCGGCAACAGCUCAAAUUUGAAAUCUGGCCCUAGGCCCGAGUUGUAAUUUGCAGAGGAUGCUUUUGGUGCGGUGCCUUCCAAGUUCCCUAGAACGGGACGCCGGAGAGGGUGAGAGCCCCGUACAGUUGGACACCAAGCCUUUGUAAAGCUCCUUCGACGAGUCGAGUAGUUUGGGAAUGCUGCUCAAAAUGGGAGGUAUAUUUCUUCUAAAGCUAAAUACCGGCCAGAGACCGAUAGCGCACAAGUAGAGUGAUCGAAAGAUGAAAAGCACUUUGAAAAGAGGGUUAAACAGCACGUGAAAUUGUUAAAAGGGAAGCGCUUGUGACCAGACUUGCGUCCGGUGAAUCACCCAGCUCUCGCGGCUGGGGCACUUCGCCGGCUCAGGCCAGCAUCAGCUCGCUGUCGGGGACAAAAGCUUCAGGAACGUAGCUCUCUUCGGGGAGUGUUAUAGCCUGUUGCAUAAUACCCU